CCUACGGGAGGCAGCAGUGGGGAAUAUUGCACAAUGGGGGAAACCCUGAUGCAGCGCCGCCGCGUGGGUGACGAAGGAUUUAGGUAUGUAAAGCCCUAUCAGCGGGGAGGAAGAUGACAGUACCUGACUAAGAAGCCCCGGCUAACUACGUGCCAGCAGCCGCGGUAAUACGUAGGGGGCAAGCAUGAUCUGGAUUUGCUGGGUGGAACGGGAGCGUAGGUGGCAUGGCAAGCCAGACGGGGAAACCCGGGGCUUAACCCCGCGGAUUGCUUUUGGAACUGGCAGGCUGGAGUGCAGGAGGGGCAGGCGGAAUUCCAGGUGUAGGGGUGAAAUGCGUAGAUAUCAGGAGGAACACCGGUGGCGAAGGCGGCCUGCUGGACUGUAACUGACACUGAGGUGCGAAAGCGUGGGGAGCAAACAGGAUUAGAUACCCUUGUAGUC
This 441-nucleotide ribosomal RNA is filed under the name uncultured bacterium. RNAcentral's name for it is "partial 16S ribosomal RNA". It matches the Rfam family "Bacterial small subunit ribosomal RNA", at positions 338 to 795 of the family's 1533-position model. The record is from RNAcentral.